This 359-nucleotide ribosomal RNA is filed under the name uncultured Methanomicrobiales archaeon. RNAcentral's name for it is "bacterial SSU rRNA". It matches the Rfam family "Archaeal small subunit ribosomal RNA", at positions 980 to 1338 of the family's 1478-position model. The record is from RNAcentral. Lineage: Archaea; Methanobacteriati; Methanobacteriota; Methanomicrobia; Methanomicrobiales.
CUGAGAGGAGGUGCAUGGCCGUCGUCAGUUCGUACUGUGAAGCAUCCUGUUAAGUCAGGCAACGAGCGAGACCCACGCCAACAGUUGCCAGCUCGUCUCCGGGAGUGGUGGGGACACUGUUGGGACCGCCUCUGCUAAAGAGGAGGAAGGAAUGGGCAACGGUAGGUCAGCAUGCCCCGAAUUAUCUGGGCUACACGCGGGCUACAAUGGGUGGGACAAUGGGUAUCGACACCGAAAGGUGAAGGCAAUCUCCUAAACCCAUCCGUAGUUCGGAUUGUGGGCUGCAACUCGCCCACAUGAAGCUGGAAUCUGUAGUAAUCGUGUCUCAAAAUGGCACGGUGAAUAUGUCCCUGCUCCUU